UCCAUUUUGUUCAACCCGGUCUACUAUC
Molecule: small RNA, 28 nt
Filed under: Bombyx mori (domestic silkworm)
Lineage: Eukaryota; Metazoa; Arthropoda; Insecta; Lepidoptera; Bombycidae
Description: ovarian small RNA-27125
Source: RNAcentral